CUCCUCCCCACCAGGUCAGCAGUGAGGUGGACGCAGCCCGCAGCCCGCAACUCCCCUUCCCAGGGCAAUCUCACUCCCGGAAAGAGGAGGAAGGGGCCCCACCCCGCCCCCAACCCCUCAUGCCUCCGGAAUGACAGCACCAGCAGCGGGGGCCCAAGAAGCUCCGGUUGCUGUGCAGACAUCCGUUCACGUGUCCUCCAGGUACAAGCCAAGGCGUCGGGAGAGCGUCUCCUGCGUGGGCCCGUGGCCUGAUGAGACUCCCAUGCGGAGGGUCCGGUCCCCAGAGGUCAGCGUCCAGCCAGACCCCGGAGACCGGCCGACAGGCAUGUCAUCCCAGCUGCACUGUGGGGGCCCAGGGGGUUGACCACCUAUGAGGAUUAAGGCCAUUCCCCAUCCCUCAUCUUGCCAAGCCAUCACCAGGCGGUAAGGACUCCUGGGCAGUGUCACCUCCGGGGCCAUGCUGGCAUCUGUCACCUCCAUACCUCCCUGGGGUCCCAUCCCAGCCAUUUCUGCCCGCCCGCCUGGCUCGGUCUCUCCCGAGGUCACCGUCCGACUUCCCCAAGUGCAUACUGUGACUCCCAGGGGGUCGAGGACCCAGCAGGGCUCCCCAGUGGUUCCCGG
This 621-nucleotide long non-coding RNA is filed under the name Sus scrofa (pig). RNAcentral's name for it is "lncRNA (ENSSSCG00070012392.1)". The record is from RNAcentral. Lineage: Eukaryota; Metazoa; Chordata; Mammalia; Artiodactyla; Suidae.